Long non-coding RNA from Oryctolagus cuniculus (rabbit), 2015 nucleotides. The record is from Ensembl. Lineage: Eukaryota; Metazoa; Chordata; Mammalia; Lagomorpha; Leporidae.
CGCUAUUUGGGAGAGGAAAAUUAUUCUCAGGAAAGAGCUCAGGAAAGUCUGUGUUUGCAAAUGCACAAUAUACAUUACUAAGGGUGAAACAUGAUGCUAAAGAGUUCUGUAACGGAAGUUUGAGAUGCUUCCCACUCAUAGCCAUGGAGAUUGCCUCUCAGUAGAUGAAAUCUACAGCUACAUCCUCUCACUAUAGAAGUUAUGAAUUGUAUUAGCAGCUUGCAACACCUAAAUGAAAGAUCUCUGUGAGUGAGAUCCCAGUGGAAAGAACAGGUCUUCAAAGAAGGAGGUACCUUUCUCUGAAGGGAGGANNNNNNNNNNNNNNNNNNNNNNNNNNNNNNNNNNNNNNNNNNNNNNNNNNNNNNNNNNNNNNNNNNNNNNNNNNNNNNNNNNNNNNNNNNNNNNNNNNNNUAUGUUCCUAAGUCUGUGUAUAUGAAAUACAUUGCAUUUGCAUAACUUAAAUACAAUUUUCAAAAAAUUAAAAAAAAAGAAAAACAGAAAAGUAGAAGGGACAAUGAGAGUUUUUUCUACCUACCUGUCACUUUUAAAAGAACCUUCUCUAAAAUUUGUUACCAAAAUUAUUAUUAUUCUUUCCUUUCAUGAAGAGGCCCCUUCCCUGCCCAUAAACUUUGCUUUGCUAAAACAUCUGGGUUCAGCUUGGGCUUUCCUCUUUUUAAACAGACUGCUGAGGCAAAUCAAGUUCAGGGCCUGACUUUUUCCAUUUGGCAACUUUCAUUUCCUGGAAAUAUGGGGUAAUUAACAAAUUGUCUGCUUUAAUACCCCGUCACUUGGUGUGCAUUUGGUAGCGAGAUGAUUCUCAUGCUUGCUGAGUUAAAUGAAAGGAUAUACUUUAUGUCAUCACAGAAAACACAGGGUCUAUUUAUGAUUUUAAUUGCUUCACAUCAUAUACACCCAUUUGUAUAUUUAUAUACGUAUUUAAAGGGUAAGGGUAAAAGAUAGUUUGCAAAUCGUUGAAAAUUUCUAUUAAUCCAUGAUAAAAAAAAAAUCCUUAAAUUCCUUUGGGAAAAAAAUCCCUAGAUGAAAGCAGGCAUUUAUGCAUGUUUUCGAAGUAACUAGAUACUAUCGUGCAUAGCUUUUGGAUUAAAAAGGGAAUUCUAUGUCUUAGACUUUCUGCUUCUUUACUAAAUGGAUAAUUCAAAACUGGGAGACGCAGCUCUAAGUUUGCUGUUUACAGAAAACACAUGCUAAUGUAACAGUGUACGAGGAAUUAAAGGGAAAAUGUCAAACACGCCAUAAGAUCCAAAAUGAAUUCAGCUGUUUGCUUUUACUAGGGGGACUUUCAUUCUCCAGCCUACCCCUUCUAAGACCGAGUGUUUCUGUGUUAGGCUAAAAAUAGCCAGCCAAGCCUAACAACUAGCUUCUGAUUGGCUCGGAGCAAAAACCACUCAGCCAAUGAGAGCUUCUGGGAACAAAAGCAAUUCUUUUGUGUGUGAGAUGCUCAACCCACGUCAAAACAGCUUCAGGCUGUAGAAAUGAUUUUGGUUGCGAUUUAACAAGGUAAUAAUGCAUUUCAGCCCUCUGAAAGGUUUGAAGCAGAACAAAGGGGCUAGCAAAAUCUACAAAACAAAUGGAGCGCUCAGGCUUUCAGCGAUGAAUCAUCCGGGUGCCUGAGCUACAAACAUUUGCAAGCCCGGAGAAAAGAAAAGAAAGAACGCCAGAAUUUUUUUUUUCCUGUUUUCUGCCUGAGAUUUUUAACUUAUUUCCCAAGAGUUUUCUUUACUCAAGCAAAAGGCAGUCAAAAGCAUUUAUGUUGACUAUGCACAAGUUGUUAUCAUUUCGCCGAAUUGAAAGCCACUUGUCCACGAUUUCUUUUAACUCUUUCAAAACAAAGACUUAUGCGUGGUAGGAAGUAGGUAGCAAAGCUCCGGAAACACUGGGCUGUGGUGGCUGGGCAUUAAAAACAGCGCAAGUUCUCAAAGUGAAGACAGUUCAUGAUUAGUGUCUGAUUGCUUUCAGGACACGCAGAAUAAAGCGGACUUGACUGCAGAAAAGCA